GCUGCCUCUCUGCCUCUCCUUUCUCGUUCUCCGUGCGGUGAGAGACGCGCACGGGGGAACGCGCUCGCUGUCUCUGGCUACUGUUGUGAGACGCAGAUUAUUCUUUAUGAAAAGCGAAUAAUAUUUGAUGCUCUUUUGCCUGUCGACACAACCAUCUGUGCUUUACGGAAGUGGCGUUCCUUUACUGAUCCACGUUGACUCUCAGGAGGAUCAGGGAGUGAUAAUGACAAUCGUUGUAAUGAUUAUGUAAUAAACCCUAGUGCCUUGAUGCCCAUGUUCCUCUGCACAGCACGUUGGAAAAUGCAAUUGUUGAAUGACAGAUUCCAUUUUUUGAGCUCAGUUCUUGCAAGUUGAUUGUCGGAGUACGAUGAAAAAUCUGUAUCUUAGUGAAGAGGAUCUCCCUUUUCUGCACAUAUUAUACAACGCAGACCCAACCAGAAAAAUGGUCAAACAAAGACCCAAGGCAGGCAUGAAGAAAACCAGGUCAAAGAAAUUCCUCCAGAAAACUGCCAACUCAAAGCAGCCAUUUGGAUCAUCCACUCAUGGUGUGUUCGGAAUUAGCAAUAACAGGUUACUAGAACACAUUACCUAUGGAAGCUACAGCGCAAAUCGUUACAGAAUGGCUUCACCGAAGGGAAGCAUCAGUUUUUUGCGGGGUGCGGGAGCCACUACAGGUUCUCAUGCCUCAAACAGAUCACCAGGCUCCCUUGCCUCAGCCGGUUCGUCAGGCUCUCAUGCAUCAGCCGAAUUGCCAGGCUCCCCUGCUACA
Long non-coding RNA from Salvelinus sp. IW2-2015, 769 nucleotides. RefSeq lists it as uncharacterized. The record is from RefSeq and is a predicted model, not a curated record. Lineage: Eukaryota; Metazoa; Chordata; Actinopteri; Salmoniformes; Salmonidae.